Long non-coding RNA from Zingiber officinale, 615 nucleotides. RefSeq lists it as uncharacterized. The transcript is spliced from 3 exons. Lineage: Eukaryota; Viridiplantae; Streptophyta; Magnoliopsida; Zingiberales; Zingiberaceae. The record is from RefSeq and is a predicted model, not a curated record.
UCUCCACAGCCAAGUGACCUCCUUCGUGCCCUAGCCGUCGGCGACGUACGGAGCCGCGCCUUUCUCCCUUCUGCCCUGGCCAAAUUUCUUCCACCGCCGGCAGCCGAGUUUCUCUCACCAGCCGCCGAACUUGCGUGCCCUAGAUCCACCGCCGGCCGCAACUCACAGAGCCGACAUCGCCGCUCCUCCCGAGCCGCACACCCGACGCCAACGCGCACGCUUUCUCUUCUCCUCCGGCCCUGCCCAAGCGCCGGCGAGCGCAAGCCAUUGCCGGCGAUCCAUCCUCUGCCCUAGACUCACUCAGCACCGCCACCGACCCAUCUCCUCUCCUCUUACCGCCGGCCACCACCCCGAGCAGUGACGAUCAAGUUAACAACUUCUCAACCCUAGUGCCGAUCCAUAAUUUCUCUGCCCUAGCCGAAUCUUGAAGUCCAGGCAGUGAGGGAGUGUUCUACAGCCACUUACUGUUGUUCCAGCAGCCGACAGCGAUAUCGGCUGCAAAUCUUGAUGUAGCAGUAACAAGAUGAUCUCCAGUGGUGCUAUCGAUGAGAAUGGACUUUGACGCGAGACGUAUAUCUCGGAGUCGGAAUUGGACCUUUCUUUUGUCGGAGGCGG